AGUCGGAGGAUUCCAGAAGGCGCAGCCGCUGCCGCGCGUGCCUCUUUUCUUGCCUGUCGGUGCGGGGGGCCUCAGUCUCUCUGCCGACACCGCUGCCAUGUUGAGUGUCGCACGGCUCCGCCUGCUGCUUCCCGGGCCUGCCCAGGUUAUCUGGAACGGUUUAAGUCAAGAUAUCCUUAGAGGUGUAACAAGCCGGAAAUAUGCCUCAGACGCAAUCAAAGGUGCAGUCAUCGGUAUCGAUCUCGGCACCACCAACUCCUGUGUGGCCGUCAUGGAAGGAAAGCAAGCUAAAGUGAG
Molecule: long non-coding RNA, 297 nt
Organism: Gekko japonicus
Lineage: Eukaryota; Metazoa; Chordata; Lepidosauria; Squamata; Gekkonidae
Exons: 3
Source: RefSeq, a predicted model, not a curated record